Cyanistes caeruleus (blue tit) is the source of this 216-nucleotide non-coding RNA. Lineage: Eukaryota; Metazoa; Chordata; Aves; Passeriformes; Paridae. The record is from RefSeq and is a predicted model, not a curated record.
AAACAAGAGGAAGAGGAGGAGAAGGAAGCAGGAGAACCCGGCAAAAUAAUGGAAGAACCUGGGGAAGUUGACAAAAGCCUUGAGGAGCUCAGGGCAGCGCUGGGUGAGUCCAGAAUUCCCAAAGUGGGGCCAAACCCCACGGUGGGAGGGUUUAAAUCAGGGGUUUUGAUCUAAAAUUUGGGGUUGUUCAGUUAAUAUUUGGGGUUUGGAUUUAAA